Molecule: ribosomal RNA, 1337 nt
Filed under: Escherichia coli
Lineage: Bacteria; Pseudomonadati; Pseudomonadota; Gammaproteobacteria; Enterobacterales; Enterobacteriaceae
Description: partial 23S ribosomal RNA
Rfam family: Bacterial large subunit ribosomal RNA
Source: RNAcentral
AAAGCCUCUAAGCAUCAGGUAACAUCAAAUCGUACCCCAAACCGACACAGGUGGUCAGGUAGAGAAUACCAAGGCGCUUGAGAGAACUCGGGUGAAGGAACUAGGCAAAAUGGUGCCGUAACUUCGGGAGAAGGCACGCUGAUAUGUAGGUGAAGCGACUUGCUCGUGGAGCUGAAAUCAGUCGAAGAUACCAGCUGGCUGCAACUGUUUAUUAAAAACACAGCACUGUGCAAACACGAAAGUGGACGUAUACGGUGUGACGCCUGCCCGGUGCCGGAAGGUUAAUUGAUGGGGUUAGCGGUAACGCGAAGCUCUUGAUCGAAGCCCCGGUAAACGGCGGCCGUAACUAUAACGGUCCUAAGGUAGCGAAAUUCCUUGUCGGGUAAGUUCCGACCUGCACGAAUGGCGUAAUGAUGGCCAGGCUGUCUCCACCCGGGACUCAGUGAAAUUGAACUCGCUGUGAAGAUGCAGUGUACCCGCGGCAAGACGGAAAGACCCCGUGAACCUUUACUAUAGCUUGACACUGAACAUUGAGCCUUGAUGUGUAGGAUAGGUGGGAGGCUUUGAAGUGUGGACGCCAGUCUGCAUGGAGCCGACCUUGAAAUACCACCCUUUAAUGUUUGAUGUUCUAACGUUGGCCCGUAAUCCGGGUUGCGGACAGUGUCUGGUGGGUAGUUUGACUGGGGCGGUCUCCUCCUAAAGAGUAACGGAGGAGCACGAAGGUUGGCUAAUCCUGGUCGGACAUCAGGAGGUUAGUGCAAUGGCAUAAGCCAGCUUGACUGCGAGCGUGACGGCGCGAGCAGGUGCGAAAGCAGGUCAUAGUGAUCCGGUGGUUCUGAAUGGAAGGGCCAUCGCUCAACGGAUAAAAGGUACUCCGGGGAUAACAGGCUGAUACCGCCCAAGAGUUCAUAUCGACGGCGGUGUUUGGCACCUCGAUGUCGGCUCAUCACAUCCUGGGGCUGAAGUAGGUCCCAAGGGUAUGGCUGUUCGCCAUUUAAAGUGGUACGCGAGCUGGGUUUAGAACGUCGUGAGACAGUUCGGUCCCUAUCUGCCGUGGGCGCUGGAGAACUGAGGGGGGCUGCUCCUAGUACGAGAGGACCGGAGUGGACGCAUCACUGGUGUUCGGGUUGUCAUGCCAAUGGCACUGCCCGGUAGCUAAAUGCGGAAGAGAUAAGUGCUGAAAGCAUCUAAGCACGAAACUUGCCCCGAGAUGAGUUCUCCCUGAGACUUAGAGUCUCCUGAAGGAACGUUGAAGACGACGACGUUGAUAGGCCGGGUGUGUAAGCGCAGCGAUGCGUUGAGCUAACCGGUACUAAUGAACCGUGAGGCUUAACCUU